This 337-nucleotide unclassified non-coding RNA is filed under the name soil metagenome. Its description in RNAcentral is "partial contains 5.8S ribosomal RNA, internal transcribed spacer 2, and large subunit ribosomal RNA". The stretch from base 1 to 120 matches the Rfam family "5.8S ribosomal RNA", at positions 35 to 154 of the family's 154-position model. The record is from RNAcentral.
GAUGAAGAACGCAGCGAAAUGCGAUAAGUAGUGUGAAUUGCAGAAUUCAGUGAAUCAUCGAAUCUUUGAACGCACAUUGCGCCCCUUGGUAUUCCAUGGGGCAUGCCUGUUCGAGCGUCAUUUGUACCUUCAAGCUCUGUUUGGUGUUGGGUGUUUGUCUCGCCUCUGCGUGUAGACUCGCCUCAAAACAAUUGGCAGCCGGCGUAUUGAUUUCGGAGCGCAGUACAUCUCGCGCUUUGCACUCAUAACGACGACGUCCAAAAGUACAUUUUUACACUCUUGACCUCGGAUCAGGUAGGGAUACCCGCUGAACUUAAGCAUAUCAAUAAGCGGAGGA